CAGUUCGGAUUGCAGGCUGCAACCCGCCUGCAUGAAGUUGGAAUUGCUAGUAAUCGCGGAUCAGCAUGCCGCGGUGAAUACGUUCCCUGGCCUUGUACACACCGCCCGUCACACCAUGGGAGCCGGUAAUACCCGAAGUCAGUAGCCUAACCGCAAGGGGGGCGCUGCCGAAGGUAGGAUUGGCGACUGGGGUGAAGUCGUAACAAGGUAUC
RNAcentral lists this ribosomal RNA (212 nucleotides) under uncultured bacterium. Its description in RNAcentral is "partial 16S ribosomal RNA". It matches the Rfam family "Bacterial small subunit ribosomal RNA", at positions 1289 to 1500 of the family's 1533-position model. The record is from RNAcentral.